RNAcentral lists this ribosomal RNA (495 nucleotides) under uncultured bacterium. RNAcentral's name for it is "partial 16S ribosomal RNA". It matches the Rfam family "Bacterial small subunit ribosomal RNA", at positions 28 to 507 of the family's 1533-position model. The record is from RNAcentral.
GAUGAACGCUGGCGGCGUGCCUAAUACAUGCAAGUAGAACGCUGAAGGAGGAGCUUGCUCUUCUGGAUGAGUUGCGAACGGGUGAGUAACGCGUAGGUAACCUGCCCGGUAGCGGGGGAUAACUAUUGGAAACGAUAGCUAAUACCGCAUGACAACAGUUAUUGCAUGAUAACUGUUUAAAAGGGGCAACUGCUCCACUACCAGAUGGACCUGCGUUGUAUUAGCUAGUUGGUGAGGUAACGGCUCACCAAGGCGACGAUACAUAGCCGACCUGAGAGGGGGAUCGGCCACACUGGGACUGAGACACGGCCCAGACUCCUACGGGAGGCAGCAGUAGGGAAUCUUCGGCAAUGGACGGAAGUCUGACCGAGCAACGCCGCGUGAGUGAAGAAGGUUUUCGGAUCGUAAAGCUCUGUUGUAAGAGAAGAACGAGUGUGAGAGUGGAAAGUUCACACUGUGACGGUAUCUUACCAGAAAGGGACGGCUAACUACGUG